Micropterus dolomieu (smallmouth bass) is the source of this 1011-nucleotide long non-coding RNA. RefSeq lists it as uncharacterized. The transcript has 4 exons. Lineage: Eukaryota; Metazoa; Chordata; Actinopteri; Centrarchiformes; Centrarchidae. The record is from RefSeq and is a predicted model, not a curated record.
GUUCCCGGUUUUCCAGGAGACUCCAGGACCCGCGUUCAGCUUUGUGUCCUUGUUGUUGCUUCGUCAGUUUGUGGCUCUGUAGAAGAUCCAGGUCUCUCUGCGGGUCCUGCAGGGAGGGGGACAGACCGGAAAUGAGCCUGGGUUCAGCUCUCGCUGUGCAGCCGUCUCUGUGAGCGUCUCCCUCUUAUUGGCAGCAGACGCACCGAUGCCACCGUUAUCUCUCCCCCAUCCGAUCCUCCAUCACUCAGCAGAACUUCUUCUGCUGUUCUGCUUCUAUCUAUGAAAUACAUACAGUCCCCUCCAAAAGUAUUGGAACGAGCCUUUCUGAUCAGCUGAGCAGCAGCAGAGAGGAAAACCUGCAGACUGAACUUUGACUUAGAAUCAGAGAAACUCUACCUGAACUCAUUUCAUCAUGGGAGGACAGGAGAGCCGACCUACAACACAAAAAAGAUGGAUCAGAGAACUGACUCCACAUCUGUCUGAAUUAAUGGACAAACUUAUUAAACUUGCAGCUUCAUUCAUCAAAGAAUUUGACAACAAUGCAUACAGAAUGAGAGAGAUUGUAGGAGAGAUUCAGAUGAAUUCUUCUGAAAUGAAAGAGAUGCAGGAGGAAACGGAUACAUCCAGAAGAACAGGAGUUGUUUUUAUAGGACUUGGACUCCUGAUCUUUGCAGGUCCAUUUACUGUAGGGCUGAGCUUAUUAGCAGCAGGAGCAGCAGGAGCAGCAGGAGCAGCAGCUGGAGCAGUAGUGGUAGGAGCAGCAGCUGCUGUAGCAGGACAUAGACAAAGACAAAUGUCAGCAGCAGCAACAGCUGUAGCAGGACAAGGACAAAGACAAAUGUCAAUAGCAGAAGCAGUUGCAGAAGCAUUAGUAGAAAUAGUAGGAGGAGCAGUAGCAGCAAUAAUAAUAGAAGUAGUAAGAAGUGCAGCAGCAGUAGGAGCAGCAGUAGCAGUAGUAGCAGCAGUAGUAGCAGCAGGAGCAGCAGCAGUAGGAGCAGUAGUAGCAGUAUC